AACGAACGCUGGCGGCAGGCUUAACACAUGCAAGUCGAACGCACCUUCGGGUGAGUGGCAGACGGGUGAGUAACGCGUGGGAACCUUCCCUGUGGUACGGAAUAGCUCCGGGAAACUGGAAUUAAUGCCGUAUACGCCCUUCGGGGAAAGAUUUAUCGCCAUAGGAUGGGCCCGCGUCGGAUUAGCUUGUUGGUAGGGUAAUGGCCUACCAAGGCAACGAUCCGUAGCUGGUCUUAGAGGAUGAUCAGCCACACUGGGACUGAGACACGGCCCAGACUCCUACGGGAGGCAGCAGUGGGGAAUAUUGGACAAUGGGCGAAAGCCUGAUCCAGCCAUGCCGCGUGAGUGACGAAGGCCUUAGGGUUGUAAAACUCUUUUGGCGGGGACGAUAAUGACGGUACCCGCAGAAUAAGCCCCGGCUAACUUCGUG
This 430-nucleotide ribosomal RNA is filed under the name uncultured bacterium. Its description in RNAcentral is "bacterial SSU rRNA". It matches the Rfam family "Bacterial small subunit ribosomal RNA", at positions 29 to 507 of the family's 1533-position model. The record is from RNAcentral.